This is a long non-coding RNA of Thalassophryne amazonica, 100 nucleotides long. RefSeq lists it as uncharacterized. The transcript has 3 exons. NCBI's taxonomy places the organism in Eukaryota, Metazoa, Chordata, Actinopteri, Batrachoidiformes, Batrachoididae. The record is from RefSeq and is a predicted model, not a curated record.
AUUAACUUUAACAAAAGGAUUAAUAAAUGGAAUAGUUUUGACUAUACUGAAUGUUUGGUCACCAAAAUAAAUGCCAAACAAAGUUGACAUCCAUUAAAUU